RNAcentral lists this ribosomal RNA (465 nucleotides) under uncultured Veillonellaceae bacterium. RNAcentral describes it as "partial 16S ribosomal RNA". The record is from RNAcentral. Lineage: Bacteria; Bacillati; Bacillota; Negativicutes; Veillonellales; Veillonellaceae.
GACUACUAGGGUAUCUAAUCCCGUUCGCUCCCCUGGCUUUCGAGCCUCAGUGUCAGUUACAGUCCAGAAAGCCGCCUUCGCCACUGGUGUUCCUCCUAAUAUCUACGCAUUUCACCGCUACACUAGGAAUUCCGCUUUCCUCUCCUGCACUCAAGAAAUAUAGUUUCUUUCCCAUCACGGGGUUGAGCCCCGCACUUUUAAGAAAGACUUACAUUCCCACCUGCGCUCCCUUUACGCCCAAUAAUUCCGGACAACGCUCGCCGCCUACGUAUUACCGCGGCUGCUGGCACGUAGUUAGCCGUGGCUUCCUCGUCAGGUACCGUCAUUAGUGACUCUUAUUCAUAGUCCCUACAUUCGUCCCCGACAACAGAGCUUUACGAUCCGAAGACCUUCUUCACUCACGCGGCGUUGCUCCAUCAGACUUUCGUCCAUUGUGGAAGAUUCCCCACUGCUGCCCCCCGUAGG